Molecule: ribosomal RNA, 384 nt
Filed under: uncultured bacterium
Lineage: Bacteria
Description: bacterial SSU rRNA
Rfam family: Bacterial small subunit ribosomal RNA
Source: RNAcentral
GACGAACGCUGGCGGCGUGCUUAACACAUGCAAGUGGAGCGACGAACCGGGGCUUGCCCCGGGCAGAGCCGCGAACGGGUGAGUAACACGUGGGUAACCUGCCUCAAUGAUUGGGACAACCCGGGAAACUCGGGCUAAUACCAAAUGUGUUCACUCCUUCUAAGGGGAGUGAGGAAAGGAAGCUUCGGCCUCCGCAUUGAGAUGGGCCCGCGGCCAUUAGCUUGUUGGUGAGGUAACGGCUCACCAAGGCUUCGAUGGGUAGCUGGUCUGAGAGGACGAUCAGCCACACUGGGACUGAGACACGGCCCAGACUCCUACGGGAGGCAGCAGUGGGAAUCUUGCACAAUGCGCGAAAGCGUGAUGCAGCAACGCCGCGUGGGGGAA